UACAGAGGGUGCAAGCGUUGUUCGGAAUUAUUGGGCGUAAAGCGCGUGUAGGCGGCUUGGCAAGUCGGGUGUGAAAUCCCUCAGCUUAACUGAGGAAGUGCGCCCGAAACUGCUUUGCUUGAGUACCGGAGAGGAUGGCGGAAUGCCCCAAGUAGAGGUGAAAUUCGUAGAUAUGGGGCGGAACACCGGUGGCGAAGGCGGCCAUCUGGACGGAUACUGACGCUGAGACGCGAAAGCAUGGGGAGCAAACAGGAUUAGAAACCCCCGUAGUCC
RNAcentral lists this ribosomal RNA (273 nucleotides) under uncultured bacterium. RNAcentral's name for it is "partial 16S ribosomal RNA". It matches the Rfam family "Bacterial small subunit ribosomal RNA", at positions 524 to 796 of the family's 1533-position model. The record is from RNAcentral.